AGUGAACGCUGGCGAUAGGCCUAACACAUGCAAGUCGAACGGCAGCACAGUAAGAGCUUGCUCUUACGGGUGGCGAGUGGCGGGCGGGUGAGGAAUACAUCGGAAUCUACUUUUUCGUGGGGGAUAACGUAGGGAAACUUACGCUAAUACCGCAUACGACCUACGGGUGAAAGCAGGGGAUCUUCGGACCUUGCGCGAUUGAAUGAGCCGAUGUCGGAUUAGCUAGUUGGCGGGGUAAAGGCCCACCAAGGCGACGAUCCGUAGCUGGUCUGAGAGGAUGAUCAGCCACACUGGAACUGGGACACGGUCCAGGCUCCUGCGGGAGGCAGCAGUGGGGAAUAUUGGACAAUGGGCGCAAGCCUGAUCCAGCCAUACCGCGUGGGUGAAGAAGGCCUUCGGGUUGUAAAGCCCUUUUGUUGGGAAAGAAAAGCAGCAGGUUAAUACCCCGCUGUUCUGACGGUACCCAAAGAAUAAGCACCGGCUAACUUCGUG
Molecule: ribosomal RNA, 492 nt
Filed under: uncultured bacterium
Lineage: Bacteria
Description: partial 16S ribosomal RNA
Rfam family: Bacterial small subunit ribosomal RNA
Source: RNAcentral